Molecule: long non-coding RNA, 230 nt
Filed under: Manihot esculenta (cassava)
Lineage: Eukaryota; Viridiplantae; Streptophyta; Magnoliopsida; Malpighiales; Euphorbiaceae
Description: long non-coding RNA (MESC_LNC002207)
Source: RNAcentral
GCAUCACAUCACAACUAAUCAUAUCAAGGAUGAACUUGUCACCAUUUAGCCCUCUACAUAUUCCAAUCAUGCCAGGGGCGUAGUGCAGGCCACACCUGGUCUUUUUCUUAUACAUAACAUAACAUAACAUACAUAUUCCAUGGUGCCGGGGGCGUAGUCCAGGCCACUUCCGGUCUUUCUCUUACAUAGUGCCAGGGGCGUAGUGCAGGCCACACUUGGACUUCCAUAUC